GGGGAUUUAGCUGGGUUGGUAGAGUGCCUACCUUGCAUGUACAAGGCCCUGGGUUCAAUUCCCAGCACCACCC
This 73-nucleotide transfer RNA is filed under the name Ictidomys tridecemlineatus (thirteen-lined ground squirrel). RNAcentral's name for it is "Spermophilus tridecemlineatus (thirteen-lined ground squirrel) tRNA". It matches the Rfam family "tRNA". From Rfam's summary of the family: Transfer RNA (tRNA) molecules are approximately 80 nucleotides in length. Their secondary structure includes four short double-helical elements and three loops (D, anti-codon, and T loops). The record is from Rfam by way of RNAcentral. Lineage: Eukaryota; Metazoa; Chordata; Mammalia; Rodentia; Sciuridae.